UACGUAGGGUCCGAGCGUUAUCCGGAAUUAUUGGGCGUAAAGAGCUCGUAGGCGGUUUGUCGCGUCUGCUGUGAAAACUGGAGGCUCAACCUCCAGCCUGCAGUGGGUACGGGCAGACUAGAGUGCGGUAGGGGAGAUUGGAAUUCCUGGUGUAGCGGUGGAAUGCGCAGAUAUCAGGAGGAACACCAAUGGCGAAGGCAGAUCUCUGGGCCGUAACUGACGCUGAGGAGCGAAAGCAUGGGGAGCGAACAGG
Molecule: ribosomal RNA, 253 nt
Filed under: uncultured bacterium
Lineage: Bacteria
Description: partial 16S ribosomal RNA
Rfam family: Bacterial small subunit ribosomal RNA
Source: RNAcentral